This is a long non-coding RNA of Phyllostomus discolor (pale spear-nosed bat), 1066 nucleotides long. RefSeq lists it as uncharacterized. The transcript is spliced from 7 exons. NCBI's taxonomy places the organism in Eukaryota, Metazoa, Chordata, Mammalia, Chiroptera, Phyllostomidae. The record is from RefSeq and is a predicted model, not a curated record.
AUAAAUACAUCAGUCUUCUAGAAAAGAACAUCAUCUCUUCUGGCUUUGCCAUUUCAUCUUCUCAAACUUUUGCGUCUCAUCUUGGGUAAAGGACUCAGCCAAAUAUGAAGAUCCUUGCCUUGGCCUUCAUCAUGGCUCUCAUGUUUGCCAUGAUUGGAGCAGAUUCUUCAUCUGAAGAGAAACGUCGUUUCUUUAGAGGCGGAUACUAUGGAGGGUAUCCAUUUCAACCAUAUCCAUAUCCACCGGCAUAUCCAUACCCUUAUCCAUAUGGAAGAAAGUAGUAAGCACAGUAUGGAUUAUAGAGUCCUGGUCAGAAGUCUUCUUUGCUCUCUACUCAUGACCAUUCUUCUUACUCAAGAAUGAUUUCCCCUUCUAGCAACAUAUUAUCAGCCCACGUACAAUAAAAGCAUCCAAAGUGAAUUUGAAAGCAUCUUUCAUAAAACAAUUCCAAAAGUAGAGCACUAUUUGUAUUCUCUCAUGUAUUAGAUUGGGACUUAAAAAAUGUAACCCAUCAAUAAGGUUUCUGUGUACAAAUUCCAGCUGUGAAAAAAAAGCCAAUUGAAUCAUGGUAGAUGAAAAACACACACCCGAGAUCAGUGAUCUAUAUUUCUAAUGCAGUGGUAAUGAUAUUCUCUUCACUAUUUGAUUGUUUUUUAUUUUGUUCACUUUAUUGAAGUAUCAUAAAACUAUACAAAAAAUCUUUCCUCACACAAUAAAUCAGUCUAUGAAGCAAAUAUCAGAUAUAUCAUUGUUUUAAUUUCUUAGCACUGCUGAAAUAAAGUACAAAUUCUAGUGGCAAAAAAUAAAAAACAAGAGCAGAGCUUUGCUGUUUGUGAUAGGUCUAGGGUGCAAUUCAACUGUGCUUUCACUUUUUCUCUGGCAUUAUUGGCAAUGCUCGACAAUUCUUGGUUUGUAAGCCCAUCACUGCAAUCUCUAUCUCUGCUGUUACAAAGCUGUCUUCUCCUUCUAUGUCUAUUCUUAUAUAAACAUUAGUCAUAUUUAAUUAAGGACACACACAUUACUCCUGGAUAAAUAGGUCUUAACUAAUUACAUCCUGGCCAUUACC